ACGGCUGCCUUGGAGAUGCUGAAGAGAUGGAUUCAAGGGCAGCUAUCAGAACGAGGUCAGGUGGCUGACAUUUGAUAGCUCAACUAUGGUAUCCAUCUUCAGUGGUUACCAUUUACAAAUAUUGGUUAACU
Molecule: long non-coding RNA, 131 nt
Organism: Telopea speciosissima
Lineage: Eukaryota; Viridiplantae; Streptophyta; Magnoliopsida; Proteales; Proteaceae
Exons: 3
Source: RefSeq, a predicted model, not a curated record